Molecule: ribosomal RNA, 633 nt
Filed under: Salmonella enterica
Lineage: Bacteria; Pseudomonadati; Pseudomonadota; Gammaproteobacteria; Enterobacterales; Enterobacteriaceae
Description: partial 23S ribosomal RNA
Rfam family: Bacterial large subunit ribosomal RNA
Source: RNAcentral
UAACGGAGGAGCACGAAGGUUGGCUAAUCCUGGUCGGACAUCAGGAGGUUAGUGCAAUGGCAUAAGCCAGCUUGACUGCGAGCGUGACGGCGCGAGCAGGUGCGAAAGCAGGUCAUAGUGAUCCGGUGGUUCUGAAUGGAAGGGCCAUCGCUCAACGGAUAAAAGGUACUCCGGGGAUAACAGGCUGAUACCGCCCAAGAGUUCAUAUCGACGGCGGUGUUUGGCACCUCGAUGUCGGCUCAUCACAUCCUGGGGCUGAAGUAGGUCCCAAGGGUAUGGCUGUUCGCCAUUUAAAGUGGUACGCGAGCUGGGUUUAGAACGUCGUGAGACAGUUCGGUCCCUAUCUGCCGUGGGCGCUGGAGAACUGAGGGGGGCUGCUCCUAGUACGAGAGGACCGGAGUGGACGCAUCACUGGUGUUCGGGUUGUCAUGCCAAUGGCACUGCCCGGUAGCUAAAUGCGGAAGAGAUAAGUGCUGAAAGCAUCUAAGCACGAAACUUGCCCCGAGAUGAGUUCUCCCUGAGACUUAGAGUCUCCUGAAGGAACGUUGAAGACGACGACGUUGAUAGGCCGGGUGUGUAAGCGCAGCGAUGCGUUGAGCUAACCGGUACUAAUGAACCGUGAGGCUUAACCUU